This is a long non-coding RNA of Falco peregrinus (peregrine falcon), 1219 nucleotides long. RefSeq lists it as uncharacterized. The record is from RefSeq and is a predicted model, not a curated record. The transcript is spliced from 3 exons. NCBI's taxonomy places the organism in Eukaryota, Metazoa, Chordata, Aves, Falconiformes, Falconidae.
GUUGCUGGGGGUUGCUUUGCUCUCAUGAGCCCUAUUUCUGAGAGUGGCAGUUCAACUAUGCAACUCUAAAUAUAUGUUUCCUUGUCCAGAUGUCUUAUUUAGGCCAAAGCCCGCACUUUGCCUGUAAGAGCUGGAAAAGCACGGACCCGCCUUUGCAGUCAAUUAACUGCCUCCAGGGCACGAAUUAUCUUUAAAAGGAGUUGGAUUGGGAUAGGGAACAUGUGUCAGCGCUGGAACGAGAAGAUGCCUGUCUGCCCUGGUGCCUAAAGAGAUCUCCGGCACUGGAAGAAGCAUCACAUAGGCACAGGGAAGGAUGCUGGUGUCUCAGAAAAGUCGUGCUGGCUGCUGGCAAGAUGACUGCGGGCGAUCAGACAGCGGAGGAGCAGCUGAGAUGAAGUGCUCCCCUCAGCUUCAGGAAAGAAUGUUUAUGGGGGCAGAAGACUCACUUUUGAGGAUGAUUUUCCCAUGAACAAAACUAAACCCAGUCUAGGGGUCAGUAAAACACCUUCGCACCUGCUAAAGCUUCCUCAGAUUUGCACUUGUUCAAGCCAAAACUGGAAUAUGGACAGGAACCGUUCCCUCCUGGAAACUUGUUGCUGGUUCUGUUUCAUGUGUGUCUGCUGCACAGUACCUACAGGGUGGCCCUUGACCUGCUGCUUCCAGUAAUCUCAAGCCUGACAGGGACCUUGCUGUGGGACGGAUGUAGCUGACAUUUAGCAGGAAUGCUAGUUCUCAUCAGAACAGUGCCUGGGGAGAUGAAGCCUGCGCUCAACCAUCCAGCUGACGUGACCUGCUGUUUUGCAAGCUCAGUCAGCACCUCAUUUCAUCAAUGAGAUGCUCUUGGCUAAUGCUAGGUCAUGUUUCCCUGAAAUGGCGUGGGCAGGAAAGAUGUUCUGCUUGGCAUAAAGUGGCCUCAGUGCAAUCUCUCCAGCAUUCUUCUGGGUGGAAGAAACCAGCUUGGCCACUUCUUCAAGGAACGUAAAGAGAACUCAAGCACGUCUUUUGAAUUACGGUGAAGUUCAGGAUUUGCUAAAGGUUUGCCCGAAAUACAAACAGCCGUUUACCCAAGGGCUGCAAUUCACGGGGGGCACCGGGAGGGUUCAGCCCCCAGCCCCAGCCGCUCCGUCCCCGGCUGGUUUGAGGUUCCCCAUGACAGUCCCUGGGCACCACAGCGGGGAGCCCCCGUCCCGGGGAGGGGGGCGGCAGGGCCAGGCAGGCA